This 253-nucleotide ribosomal RNA is filed under the name uncultured bacterium. Its description in RNAcentral is "partial 16S ribosomal RNA". It matches the Rfam family "Bacterial small subunit ribosomal RNA", at positions 524 to 776 of the family's 1533-position model. The record is from RNAcentral.
UACGUAGGUGGCAAGCGUUAUCCGGAUUUACUGGGUGUAAAGGGCGUGUAGGCGGGGACGCAAGUCAGAUGUGAAAACCACGGGCUCAACCUGUGGCCUGCAUUUGAAACUGUGUUUCUUGAGUACUGGAGAGGCAGACGGAAUUCCUAGUGUAGCGGUGAAAUGCGUAGAUAUUAGGAGGAACACCAGUGGCGAAGGCGGUCUGCUGGACAGCAACUGACGCUGAGGCGCGAGAGCGUGGGGAGCAAACAGG